RNAcentral lists this ribosomal RNA (484 nucleotides) under uncultured bacterium. RNAcentral describes it as "partial 16S ribosomal RNA". It matches the Rfam family "Bacterial small subunit ribosomal RNA", at positions 30 to 507 of the family's 1533-position model. The record is from RNAcentral.
AUUGAACGCUGGCGGCAUGCUUUACACAUGCAAGUCGAACGGCAGCGCGGGCUUCGGCCUGGCGGCGAGUGGCGAACGGGUGAGUAAUACAUCGGAACGUGCCCAGUAGUGGGGGAUAGCUCGGCGAAAGCCGGAUUAAUACCGCAUACGACCUGAGGGUGAAAGCGGGGGAUCUUCGGACCUCGCGCUAUUGGAGCGGCCGAUGGCAGAUUAGCUAGUUGGUGGGGUAAAGGCCUACCAAGGCGACGAUCUGUAGCUGGUCUGAGAGGACGACCAGCCACACUGUGACUGUGAGACGGCCCAGACUCCUACGGGAGGCAGCAGUGUGGAAUUUUGGACAAUGGGCGAAAGCCUGAUCCAGCAAUGCCGCGUGUGUGAUGAAGGCCUUCGGGUUGUAAAGCACUUUUGGCGGGAACGAAAAGGACUGUGCCAAUACCACGGUUCGAUGACGGUACCCGCAGAAUAAGCACCGGCUAACUACGUG